Molecule: long non-coding RNA, 4074 nt
Organism: Manis pentadactyla (Chinese pangolin)
Lineage: Eukaryota; Metazoa; Chordata; Mammalia; Pholidota; Manidae
Exons: 5
Source: RefSeq, a predicted model, not a curated record
ACAGGAGGAAUGCUGUUAGCCAAUCCAAGAAGAGAAUCUUAUCGAAGGCCGGUAAUGAUGCAACCAAUGUAAGGUAGGCCAGCUGAGGUAGGGGCGGGGGUUAGGGUUGAUUGGCAAAGCGGGCUCCUAUUGCUGAGGUCGUUAUUCCUUGGGUCUCCCGGGGCUGAGGGGAGGAGCCGGGCGGUGGGUGUGCCCCGUAGGCGGCCUCCUCGACCUUUGAGAGCCACGAAAGGAGGGGGAGGUGGCCGGUGGGAGUUUCGUAGCAGCAGCCUUCCGGUACCCGCGGAGCAGGUGACUGUCAUCUGCUGUCAGAGAAACACAAAGAAAGUGGAUCACAUUAGCAAAAACCAAAUGAAGACGCUCCAAAUGACAAAAGAACUGGAAGGCUACAGACCUUAAGGCUGCUGGUCCUUGUUCCAAAUCUGCUGCUGAUUCACCAUAUGAUGCUGGGAAACUCUCAUAUCCUCUCUGAGCCUGGGCUUUUCAUCAGUACAAUACAGGUACACACAGUAAAAUGUACAAAUCUCAGUGUACAGCUCAAUGAAUUUUGACAUGUGUGUACACAAAUGUAACCAUCACCCGGAUCAAGAUAUCAAACAUUCUAAAGAUCGUACCAUGGGGAAAAAAAAUAGACAUCAGACAUUCUCACAAAAUUUUUUCCCCUUCAUUUGUAUGUUCUCUAGUUUCUUCAUUUCCCAACUGUAAGAGUAGGGACAGGAAACAGAACCAAGAAAACCAAAUUCCAAGCUAGCAAUGGGGAAAGCUGAGAGCCAGUCCAGUUUAUACUACAGAAUCCUCAGAACAGGCAGCACCAGGCAGCAGACUGGAAGAUUCUUCCUUGAGAACUUGACCAGCCCAACAGGAAAUACCUAAAGAUUUUGCUAUCAGGGGUUCUGCAAAAAGUAGCCUACCCAAAUCACCAUACAGGGAAGUUCAGUGUCCAAAGCCCCACUCCUGCUCUCAGAAGUUCCAGUCAACAUUUUAGGUGCCCAUUCUUAAUCACCACCAGACAUUCAGACAUGACCAGACAUCUGAGGAAAGCCAUUACUGUGAAACGCAAAGAUCAAAAAGCCCAAAAUAAAACCUAAAGAUCCAGAAAAAAAAAAAAAGUAACCUGGAAGAAACAGCAAUUGUGCAGGAAGAAGAAAACAAUAAAACAAAAUUAUCAAUAUUACCUUCAAAGAAAUAAAAGAAGAUAUUUCAGUCAUGAAACAACAACAGGCUAUGUAUUCAACAAAGUAACAUUCAGAGGACAAUAUUAAAAAGCACUCUUGAGAAUGAAAAACAUGGAAACAACAAUGAAAAGCUAAUCUAUCAAGGCAGGAUACCCUUGAGGAAAUCUCCCAGAAAGUUAAGCAAAAAGUCAGAGGUGAAAAAUAGAAAGGAAAAUAAAAGAAAAAUAGUGGCUCAAUCCAAAAGAUCUAAUAUCUAAAUGAUAGAAAUGAGAAAGAAAAAACUGGAGGGGAUAAAUCAAUGAAAUAACCCAAGAAAAUUUCCCAAAUCGAAGGACAUGAACAGAUAUGCUGAAAGGGUCCACCAAAUACUCAACCAAUGGAUGAAAACAGGUACACAGGAAGGCACCUUAGUGUGGAAUUUCACAACAUUGGGUGAAAGAUUUCUACAAGGUUCCAGACAGAGAACACAGGUGGUUCGGAGAGGAGUUCUCAACACUAAGAAGGAAGCUGGAAGACAACAAAGCAAUGUUUUCCAAGUUUGGAAGAAAAUUUAUUUUCCAAACAAGAAUUCUAGGUCCAGAUAAGCAAUCAAUCAAAUAUGAAGAUAAAAUAAAAGUCAUUUUAAGAUAUUCAAGGUCUCACAUUGUUGACUUCCCGUGAACACUUCCUUUUUCGAAAAAUUCUCAAAAUAGUGCAAAAUAAAGCAAUAACCAUGAAGAGAACAUGGGAUACAGGUAACCAGUAAGCCAACCUACAAGAGCAUUAAAAGGAAUCCCUGAGAGAGUGGUGGAGAUCCCAAGAGAAUAGUUUGCCCCCACCCCGUUGAAGAUGACAGCCAGUUCAGACUGGAGCAGUUAGACUGAAGACCAGAGACAUUCUUACCUCAGUCAUCACCAGGAUUUCCUCUGCCAUUAUACUCCUUUGAACCUGAGGACAGAGUGCCCAGCUGAGUGGGCCAGCUGAAGACAUUCAUUCCACUCCUUGGAUUUACUCUUGAGCAUUAGAGAGAAUCUAUAGGUGCUUAGAAGCAAAACAAACAUACAGCCCACUGCCUCUGCCCAUGAACCUACUGGAUAACCUGUCUAUAAAUCUAUAGCUCUACUAGAUUUUCUGGUCCCAGAGCCCUAGACUUCAGGACUUACUUAUUUGCUUAAUCAUUGACUUCUCCCAGAUGGUUCAGAUAUACUCACGAAAGCUUCAGUAGGAGGACUGUGACCCAGAGACUGUUCACCUCCUUUCCUUCUGGGAGCCUUCAUAAUAGUGGCAAUAUUGUGCUCUCUCACACAGCUAGAUUUGUGUUUGACACUCAGCUUUUUUCCUCUAAAUUAAACAAUAUGGUAUUUAGGCAUACACAUAUAUGUUGAAAAACUCCAAGGAAAUAGUUAUUUUGGUGGAAAGGAAGGCAUACAAUUGGGGAGGAGCACAGAGAGAAUUUCUAGGUACCAGUAGAGUUUUAUUUCUUUACCUAGGUGCUAAGUUCAUAAUAGCUUAUAUUGUUAUUAUUAUUUAGACUGAACAUAGAGGUUUUAUAUACUCCUUUAUAGGUAUUUAGCACACACACACAAUAUCGAUAUAGAAGAAAAAAAAUCCAUGACCCAACACCUAGAUGCAACAAAUACUAACAUUUUUAAGUAUCUCCUAUCAUUUUAUUCUGUGCAUUUUGCAUUAUUGAGAUCAUACUAUGCAUACAUUUUUAACAUAUGCCUUUUUAAGAGACUUUUUAAUAUAAGCAUCUUAUGUUACUAAAUUCUUUACACAUUUAUCAUUUUAGGAACCGUUAUAAUAUUAAUUGAAAUUCUUUCUUCCCUAUUUCAAAGAGCAUAGCUCUGAGGAAUGACAUGGACUGAAUUUUGUGCUGGUGGAAGCUUGUAUCUGAAAAUGCAUGCAGAGUAAUCCAGAAUGUCCCUCUACCCCCAGUCACCCUGUCAAAACCCCCAUAUCCUUCAAAGCCCAGCUCAAAUUCCACCAUCUCCAGGAAGCCUAACCACCCUUCCACCCUUCAGGGAAACCUCCAUCUUUAACCUUCCAUGAUAUGGUGCUUAUUAUCUAUUCUGCAUCUUUUUAUUUGGAUUCAUUUGGAUUCAUUUUUUUUAUCCCCUCGUACACUACAAAUUCUUGAGGACAGAGCUCUCUAUCUUAGAGGGUCUGGAAAAUACAAAGUGUUCCAUAAGUAUUAAGUAAAUAAACUUGAAAGACUGCUUUUUUAUUCUUUGUGUUAAUAUCCUGCAUUACCAAUGGUGUUUGUCAAUAUAAUUAAGUUACUUAAGGGCCUUCACCCAAAUUGAAGGUUAUCAAAUGGAGGCACAUUCUUUUUGUCCAUAAUUGCCACAUUCUGAAAUUGGGAACAUGACCACCCCUGCUGUCCCUGAUAAUAGAUUUGAUAUUUGCUUUGAAGGCUGGAUUAAGGAAUGUAUGUGCUCUUAUCUAAAAAUAAUAGUUUGUAUUUAUUGAGAGUCUGUUAUGUGCUAGACACCAGCCUAAGCAAUUUGCAUGCCUCUGUGAUUUAAUUCCCAGAAACACUAUGAGGUAAAAGUUAUUUAGUUUACUCAUUUUACACCUGAGGACACUGAAUCACUUGUGCAGAGUUAGCCAGGUUGUAGAUGGAGGUACCAGGGCUCCAGCCCAGAUCUGCCUGAGUCUGACCUUCCUCACUUCAAAGCCAGGCUGCCUCCUCAGAAAUAUAACCACAAAAUCUAAAUCUUGAUCUCCAGCUCUCGGUUCCAUAUGACAAAACUAGUUCUCCAUCAAAUGGCUAACACUUGUGAAUUUGCAUUUUUAAUUGAUAUAUUCAAAAGAACAGUAGAUACUGUUUACAAAAGAAAUAAGAAAGAAAUCCAUAAUUUCAUCUCCUAACAAUUACUGUCAUUUUGGAAUACCCUUUUCUAGUCUUUCCCCAUUU